This 314-nucleotide ribosomal RNA is filed under the name uncultured Nitrosomonas sp. Its description in RNAcentral is "bacterial SSU rRNA". It matches the Rfam family "Bacterial small subunit ribosomal RNA", at positions 338 to 644 of the family's 1533-position model. The record is from RNAcentral. Lineage: Bacteria; Pseudomonadati; Pseudomonadota; Betaproteobacteria; Nitrosomonadales; Nitrosomonadaceae.
CCUACGGGAGGCAGCAGGGGGGAAUUUUGGACAAUGGGCGCAAGCCUGAUCCAGCAAUGCCGCGUGAGUGAAGAAGGCCUUCGGGUUGUAAAGCUCUUUCAGUCGAGAAGAAAAGGCUGCAGUGAAUAACUGUAGUUUAUGACGGUAUCGACAGAAGAAGCACCGGCUAACUACGUGCCAGCAGCCGCGGCAAUACGUAGGGUGCGAGCGUUAAUCGGAAUUACUGGGCGUAAAGGGUGCGCAGGCGGUUUUGUAAGUCAGAUGUGAAAUCCCCGGGCUUAACCUGGGAAUUGCGUUUGAAACUACAAAGCUAG